GCUGGUUUUAUUCAUGCAUCAGUUUGUGCAGUGGAACUUAAAAGGAUUUUCUGCAUUAUUUUAGAACAUAUGCUGUACACCUUUUCCUCCCACGUGUUCUCUAUAUCCUGUAGAAUCUCUGGACAGAGAUCAUCUCUUCCCCUCCAGCUGAAAAAUGCAGUGUGUUGAAGAAGUAAAAAAAUUUAUUGCUGUGUUGAAGAAAAGUGAAGUAUACAGUGUUUCGAUGAACUUUCUGAAAAUGCAUUCGGAAGUUCCAGGGCAGGUACUCACAAAACUGGAGCAUUCACAGAGUAAGAACGAGACCUAAUUACUUCUGUGUGCAUUUUUAUUAAUGCAGAAGAGCUAAGUUGCACAGUGAGCAAGUGUUCUGGCAUUCCUAAAAGUCUUCUCUCUGUUUUCUGAAGGUAAAUAUAAAAUUCCCUUGUUUCUCCUCCUUUUCCUUUUCAUAAAUUUCUAUCCUUAGCUUCAUUUACACUACAAUUAGAUGUUAAGUAGCACCUACCUCCCAUUUUCAAAAAUAGUUUAGGAACAGAACUCUAAUAGAAAAAUAAUAAGAUUUAACAGCUUAGAUAAUUUUAAACUUUAGAUUCAGGCUAUUAAGGAACAAAGAGUACUAUUGAAAGUUUCACUCUAUCUUCAGCACUAAAAGCUUGCAAGGUUUUACACUCCACUCAAAAUAAUCAAUUCUGAAUUAUGGUUUACUAAAUUUCAAAAACUAAUCUGCUUACUAGUUGACAAUAUUUAAAGGAAGAUCUUGUGAGCCACUGAAACCUUGUGACUCAGGUAGGUGUACAAUACGUAUUCUUCUUUAAUUUGUUACUUGGACAUCACUCUGGAAGAAGUCCCUGUUUUUAUAGGUAAAAUUCUAGUGGGAAUUAUUUUAUGACAAUGCUUUUUCAUGUAGUCUUUGAAAAGUGAUGUAGAAUUUUUUUGGUCAUCAGAAAUGAUGAACUUGUAAAAGUGAUAAACAGUGUAAAUGUUGGUGCUGUUGACUUUGAAGUAAGACCAGAGAAGAUACUUAUAUGAGGAAAGUUCCACUCCAUACUAACAUUAUUCUCCUGCUUUAUCUGCUUCAUCCUGUCAGUUGUCUUCUUCUAAUUCUAAAUGAUUAAUCAUUUUAAUAAAUUAAGCAGAAUACACUACUUUAAAAUAUUCUGAUGAAAAGCAUAACAUACAGUUUUGGUGCUUGAAAUGUAUCAGUGCAUCUUAAAAUUAGCUGCUUGAUCUGUAGCAGCAGAAGAGACUCAGUAAGUCUAGGAGAACCAAAGGAAGAAUUUUUCAUUAGAAAUUCCGUUCUUUUUACAGAGGGUUUAUUUCUUUCCUGUUGAAAAUAUAAAGGUAACGUGGAGAUUUCUCUGUCAGCUGUGCCCGCAAAACUGUAUUGGAAUUGACAGAAGUGGAAGUGUUGGUGUAGGACUGCACAGUGUGGGCACUGGUAAAUGAGCAUUGGUAAAUGAGCACUUAAAUCUUUUGAAAAGCUGGUGCAGCUUGCACAGGCUGGAACUGCAGGCUUGCGUCUGUACCACAUAGACUCUCAAGAUCACAUUUUCCAGCUUUAGAGAAUUUCAUAUAUUCCCAAAAGUGAAAGUGUUGUUAUAUUACAUAACUGAGUACUGUUUGAUGAAGUCUAUAUAAUACAUGCUUCAAAAAAUUUACUUGAGAAGGGUUUUCAUUCCUUUUUGCCUGACUGUGUAUGUAUCUCUAUACAAUGAAAUACAGAGUUGCUGCAUUUCCAUCAAUUUCCAGACAGGAAUACAUCACCUACAUUUGAGACUGAAGUGACGUUGUGGAGACUGAAUCUGUUUGGGUACCAAAAAAGCAGUUUUGGUUGCAGAUAUGUGCAGUGCUAACAUGCAGCACAACUGCCCUGCUUUAACUGGUUCAACAAAGUUUUCCUGACACAACAAUUAACAGAUGAGCCAUAGAGGAAUUAUCUAAAUUCCAAUACUAUGCAAAACUACUACACAUAUAUGAACACAGGAGGACACAUACUCUGCAUUUGAUUCUAGCUUGUAAACAAUGAUGCAGAAUGGGAUAAACUUCAUCUGCUUAUAAAUCAGCUGGUGUGCAGACAUAAGUGUGAUUUUUAGAAGCCACAAACUCACAGCGCACUCAAUACUUUAUAAAUAAGCACAGUGCAGUGUGGAAGAAUUUCCGUUAAUUAAUGCAUCCUAAUUUAUUCUAUAAUUUCAAUUAUUAAUACAUAUUCAAAAAACCUUUCAGAUGCUGAGACCAGCAAUUAUUUUAAUGCAUUUUUUUGCUGUUGGUGUUCCUGGUUGCUGGUAUUGGUCACAGAUCACUGGAAAACUACACUGUAAAAGGCUUACAAGAGCAUCUGCAUUCUUCAGGGGGCCAAAAGGCAGAGCUGCAAAGAGAUAAUUGGUUACAUUCAAUUAAACAUGGAAGAUUUCACCUGAGAAAGCAAGCAUAUAGUCUGUCAAUGAGGCCUUCCUGCAUCAGCUACAAGAAGUUUCAUGCUCACAGGCUCUCAUCCUGAUGGGGGAUUUCAACCACGCAGAUAUCCGCUGGCAAGAGAAUGCAGCAAACUGCGAUUCAGGAAACUACUGGAGUCCAUUGGAGGUAACUUUCUGGUUCAAGUAUUGGACAGACCAACCAGAGGUGAGGUGUUGCUGGACCUAGUACUCACCUAUGUGGAGGAGUUCAUUUAAGAUAUUAAGAUCAAAGGUAGCCUGGGCUGCAGCAGCCUGGAUGUGUCUGUGUUCUUGAAGAAUGUGAGCUUGAUAAAGAGUGGAGUCAGGGCCCUGAACUUCAAGACAGGGAACUUUAUGUUGUUUAAGGAAUUGUUGGGUGAGAUCUCCCUGGAAGAAGUCCUUAGAGUCAAAGGAGUGGAACAAAGCUGGCUAUUCUUUAAGGAUGCCUUUCUGAGAGAACAAGAGCUCUCCAUCCCUCGCAAUAAGAAAGCUGUCAGGAGUGGCAGCAAAUCUGCAUAGAUUGGCAAGAAUCUGUUGGUCAAACUGAGUAAGGGUAAGUAAAGAACUGUAAGUACAGACAGUGGAAGCAAGGGUGUAUAACAUGGGAAGAAUGCAGGGACGCAGUCCAGAUUUGCAGAGAUGGGAUUAGGAAAGCCAAGGCACAGAUAAAACUGGACUUGGUGAAGGAUGUUAAAAGCAACAAGAGGGAACUCUAUAGGUGCACUGACAGGCCAAAGAGAGCGUGUCUCCUAUGCUAAAUGAGAAAGGAGAGCUGGCUGCAACAGAUAUGGAGAAGACUGAAGUACUCGAUGAGUUCUUUGCCUCAGACUUCACUGACAGCCAGGAUUCUCACAUCCCUGAACUUCACAUCCCUGAACCUGAACAUCUAGGUGGGAAGUAGCGAAGCAAACUCAGGAGACUGAAUAUGUACAAGUCCAUGGGGCCAGAUGACAUGCUGUCUGGUUCCAGUUACUGGAGGAGAUGGUUUGAUAUAUAUAUAUACCCGGUGCAAAACUAAGGCAGCAAAUGAAGCCAAGAUGCUGCCCAACCAAUUUAUUACAAAUUCUAAGCAGUUAAGGAACGUGGGGAAGAUGGUGAAGUUAGCAAUAGUAAAGAGAGGAAUCCUAGUGCACAGGUCAUAAGGCGGGGAUAGUCACUGCUAUGGAUCCAGCGAGGUCUUGUUGAUCCAUAGGGAGCUGCAAGUCGGUCAGCGACAUCUCAUUGACCUGCGCAGCUGCGGUUUGGUGGAGGGGGCACCCACUCUUCCUCCAAAGUUUUUUGUUCUUGUCCCCUUCAUUCUGCUCUAGUGCACCUCUGGUUGCUUGAGGCAAUGGCACCUGUUCCCCUGUCAGGUGAUCAGCAGUUGAUGAUGCUACAGUCACGUGCCUGCUACCUGGUGGUCCAGUGCUGACUCCAUACUGGUCAUUUACUCCAAAACAAACCCAAAAGUUAGUGUGAUAUGCAAACAUCAGCUGAGAGCUGAUUCUUUCUAGUCACUCAAUAACACGAGUUCUUCUUAUUGGCCUAUCAUGGUCUCAGGUGUGUGCUGCUGAACAAUCCUUGAGACAAUAGUGCUUUCUUUUAGCUUCUCAAACAUGCAUCCCAGGAUUCUAAGGGAGCUGGCUGAUGUGGUUGAUGAGCCACUCUCUGUGUUAUCUGAAAAGUCAUGGCUGUCAGGCAAAGUCCCCAGGGAUUGGAAAAAGGGAAACAUCACUCCCAUAUACAAGAAAGAGAGGAAGGAAUACCUGGGGAACUACAGCCCAGUGAGCUUCACCUCUGUUCCUGGGAAGAUCAGGAACUGGAUCAGGACCUGGAACAGAUCCUUCGGGAGGCAUACAAAGCAUAUGAAGGAUGAGCGGGUUAUCUAAGAUAGCCAGCAUGGCUUCACCAAGGCAAGGUCAUGCCUGAUCAGUCUGGUGGCUUUCUGUUAUGGAGUCAUCCCUCCAUAAUUGUGUGGACAUUGGUGGACAAAGGGAAGGCAACUGAUAUAAUCCUCUUGGACUUCUCAAAGGCCUUUGAUAUGGUCCCACACCACAUACUUUUGUCUAAAUUGGAGAAAGAUGAAUUUGAAGGGUGGACUAUUUGGUGGAUAAGGAAUUGGUUUUAAGGUCACAGCUAGAGAGUUGUGGUCAAUGAGUCUAUGUCCAGGUGGAGGUCGAUAACAAGUGAUGUUUUCCAGGGGUCUGUCUUGGGUCCUGUAUUCUUCAACAUCUUUAUCAACGACACAGGUGAUGGGAUUGAGUGUACCCCCAGAAAGUUUGUUGAUGACACCAAGCUGACCAGUGUGGUUGACAAAGAAGGGAGGCACACCAUACAGGGGGACCUUGACAAACUCUAAAGAAUCAUAGAAUGUCCUGGGUUGAAAAGGACCUCAAAGAUCAUCUAGUUUCAACCCCCCUCCUGAGUGAAGGGUCACCAACCAAUAGAUCAGGCUGCCCAGAGCCACGUCUCCAGGGAUGGGGCAUCCACAACCUCCUUGAGCAACGUGUUCCAGUGCGUCACCUGGUGUCACCAGUGGGUGGACAAAGAGACUCUGCGAAAACCUGCGGGACCUGAAUAAGGCCAAGAGAUGGCAGAUCCAGUGCACUGAAGUUGCUACAGACAACAUGGGCCUCCCCACUUAAGAUCCAAAUUAUGGGCAUUGAUAAUCAGAUGCCCAGGACAUUCCCCAGUGCAAGCCGAAGUGUUGACGCAGGACAGGAACACCGUCUGUAUCUUGCCAUGGAGGGCAGUCCUACCCCUUCUGGUACCUCUGAAACACCUAUGCUACUCCCCAUGAGUCUCUUUGAGUCCACAGAAUCGACAGGAAGAGCAACAGGACAUCAAGAUGCUCCAGUGUCACUAUAAGAUCAGCGUGACACCCAGUGGUGGACUAUAUGGUACUGAUGGAAUGCGAGCCGAACCUUCCCUGGUCCAAGCAACUAAGUGCCUUCAGAAGAACCAUCAAGUAUUGACCCACAAAGAAAGAUGAACCUCAGUGGAAAACCAGUCAUCAAUAGUCUUAUAUUUCAUUAGUGUACACUAUGACAGGCAAAUUGUACAAAGUGUCAUGGUAUACUGGAUCACUGUAAUGGAAAGGGCUUACCUUCAACCUGCUCAAUCAUUGGUUCACUCUUUGAAGGGGUGGAGUGUAGUGGAAAUACUAAGUCAUGGCCUGAAACAGUGAUUGAGCACCUGGG
Long non-coding RNA from Numida meleagris (helmeted guineafowl), 5611 nucleotides. RefSeq lists it as uncharacterized. Lineage: Eukaryota; Metazoa; Chordata; Aves; Galliformes; Numididae. The transcript has 6 exons. The record is from RefSeq and is a predicted model, not a curated record.